Herpailurus yagouaroundi (jaguarundi) is the source of this 252-nucleotide long non-coding RNA. RefSeq lists it as uncharacterized. The record is from RefSeq and is a predicted model, not a curated record. The transcript has 3 exons. Lineage: Eukaryota; Metazoa; Chordata; Mammalia; Carnivora; Felidae.
AAGAAAAAGUGGAAUAGAAAAUAACUACAAAUGUGGUAGAUAUUAAUCCAAAAAUGCCAACAAUCAAUUUAAAUGUGAAUGAUCUUAACACGCUAAUUAAAAGGCAGAGACUGGGGUGCCUUGGGUGGCUCAGUCGGUUAAGUGCCCAACUCUUGAUUUUGGCUCAGGUCAUGAUCUCACGGUUUGUGAGACCGAACCCUACAUUGGGCUGUGCCCUGACAGUGCAGAACCUGCUUGGGAUUCUCUCUCUCC